GCCUGGGUGGCUCAGUUGCUUAAGCGCCCGACUUCGGCUCAGGUCGUGAUCUCACAGUUUGUGGGUUCGAGCCCUGCCUUGGGCU
RNAcentral lists this transfer RNA (85 nucleotides) under Felis catus (domestic cat). It matches the Rfam family "tRNA". From Rfam's summary of the family: Transfer RNA (tRNA) molecules are approximately 80 nucleotides in length. Their secondary structure includes four short double-helical elements and three loops (D, anti-codon, and T loops). Lineage: Eukaryota; Metazoa; Chordata; Mammalia; Carnivora; Felidae. The record is from Rfam by way of RNAcentral.